AGCCGGGCCGGGCCGGGCUGGCGGCGCGGGUGGGGGGAGGCGCAGGUCAGCAGUUUUCUCGCGGGAACGGUGACGCUGUUGAUUUUUACAAAGCGAAAGCGGAGCGCGCACAGGGUUUGCCCAGCAGGAAACGUGCCAUCACCCAGCCUGGGUCAGAGCUGGCCAGGGGAGCGGGACUAUUGUGUCCAGGUCUGGUCGCCGCGGUUCAGGCAGGAUGUGGACAAAUUGGGGAAAGUCCGGAGGAGAGGAACCGAAAUGAUUGAAGGGCUAGACAACAUGACCUAUGAGGGAAGAUUAAAAAAUAGGGUUUCUUUAGUUUGGAGAAGAGAAGACUGAGAGGGGACACGAUGACAGUUUUCAAAUACGUAAAAGGGUCUUACAAAGAGGAGGGUGAAAAAUUAUUCUCCGUAACAUUUGAGGAUAGAACAAGAAGCAAUGAGCAUAAAUUUCAAGGAAGUUUUAGGUUCAUUAUCAUAGAAUAUCAGGGUUGGAAGGGACCUCAGGAGGUCAUCUAGUCCAACCCCCUGCUCAAAGUAGGCCCAAUCCCAGACAGAUUUUUGCCCCAGGUCCCUAAAUGGCCCCCUCAAGGAUUGAACUCACAACCCUGGGUUUCGCAGGCCAAUGCUGUUGGACAUUAGAAAAAAACUUCUUAACGGUCAGGGUAAUUAAACACGGGAACAAAUUGCUGAGGAAGGUUGUGGAAUCUCCAUCACUGGAGGUUUUCUUUAAGAACAGGUUAGCUAAACACCAGUCAGGAAUGGUCUAGGGCAGGGGACUGGACUAAAUUACCUAUUGAGGUCCCUUUCUGUCCUACUCUUCUAUGAUCCAGCACUAUUCCCUGCCCCUCAUUGUCAUCAUCUCUCCCGCUCUCUCCAAAACAUACAUCUCAAUCUACCAUCCGAAGAAGUAAGACUCAGUCAUGUACGGUACAUACGGGAUCCUUCUAUACAGGGAAAUAUUCACCUCUCAGAUUCCAGAUGUUGGGGAAAGAUUCCCGUUUGUCCUGCUUGAGGUCAUAAGAUCUCUCAAAUAUAUGUUAAGAAUGAAUUGAUCCACUGGUCUACAUGAAGUUGUGUAGGAUAUUUCCAAUAAUGACAUUAUUUUAAUGCCUCAGGUUUCACAGCCACAUUUCUGGAGCUGUGUGCAAACCUGCAGCACAGAGGCACCAAAAUGAGAACUGUAUGGACAGUGGAGAAGCAAAUGGCAAUCACUCUGGAAGCUUGCAAUGGCAGAUUGUUAUUGGCCACUGGACUAUCAGUUUGGAGUUGGAAAAUCCAUAGAUUGUCAUCCAAGUGCGUAAGGCCAUGACACAUCUCCUGCUAUGCUGGACUGUGACUCUUGGCAAUGUGCAAGAAAUAGUGGCUAGAUUUGCAGCAAGGGGCUCCUUGACUGCAGUGCAGUGAUAGAUGGCACACAUACCCCUAUUCUGGCACCAGCCCACCUUGCCACUGAGUACAUCAGCAGAAAGGGAUACUUUCCAAGGUUAUGCAAGUGUAUUGUUCACUGGGGACACUUCACUCAUAUGGAGGUGGGCCACUCAGGGAAGGUGAAUGAUGCUUGCAUCUUUAAGAAACACAGGACUUUUCAAAAAGCUGCAAGCAGGAACAUUCUUCCACAGCCAGCAGAUUACCAUUGGUGAUGUUGAAAUGCCAAUAGUGAUUCUGGGGGAUGCAGCCUACUCCUUGCUCCCUUGGCUCAUGCAGCUGUACACUGGUCACCUUGAUGGUGCCAAGGAAAGAUUCAACUACUGGCUCAUCAGGUGCAGAACGACUACUCAAUGUGCUUUUGGUAGACUGAAGGGAUGCUGGCAGUGUUACUCACUAGAUUGGCUCUCAGUGAGAAAAAUAUCCCCAAGGUUAUAGCUGCUUGUUGUGUACUGGAUCAUAUACAUGAAACAAAGGGGAAAAGCUGUUUCCAGGGCAGAGGGGCAAGGUGGACCAGCUGUCUGAUGAAAUUGAACAGCCACACGCAAGGGCUAUUGAACAGCCAUGCACGAGGGCUGUGGAGCUUUGCUGCUGAGGGUCAGAUGUUGAGCAGGCAUGGAGAGGGCACCCGACAAGACCAUCAUGCCAGAAGCUGUUGAUUAAAAUAUACAGAUGCACCAUUAGCUUUACAAUCACAACAAUCAAGGAAAGAUAAGUCUCAAAACUCCCGUACAUUAUUCCCAUAAAUAGGAAAUGCUUAUUGACACUUUAGCUUUGGAGCACCUCACUACAGCACCACUCUGCAGCUCAAAUCAUGGCAAUGGUGAUUUUGGAUGAUAUCUCACUCCUGGGGGUGACAAAGUCAUAAAGGACCCAGCUGCUACUGGUGUCCAAGCCACCUGUGGCCAUAUACUGCUAACUUGUUUACUGACAUGGUGCCAGGCAAACUCAUCGUAGAGUGGUAUGGGAAAUCUCCAAUUGCCGUGAAAGAAACAAGGCUGCCAUCCCUAGAAAUCUUCAGGAGAGGAUUGCACAGUAUCUCUAUGAAAGUUUCAUUGAGAUCUCUCAAGAGGAUAAAAUGGACUUCUCUGUUCAGAUAAAUAAAGUACUCCACAUGCCCUUGCCGAGCCCAGCAAGCCAAGUAAGUGAAUAACAGAUGCUGAUUCUACCACUGUUUGUUCUACCUCUGACCAACCACAGGACACUAGGCUGAUGUGGAUUGUGUAAUCAGACCACCACUCUGUUUUAAUUUAUUCCCUAAUAUUUUAUUUUGUAGCAUUAGAUCUGUAGAGCAACGAAAACUCAAUAUGUUUGUUUUCUAAAAUUAUAGGUGGGGUGUGUGCUAUUUUUAAAUGGGGAGGAAAGAUGGUGGGAGGGAGGGAGAUGUGGUUUCAUGAAAAUGGGAAAAAACACAUUAUAAGGAAUAUUGCAUGUACACACUUACUCAAGUGCCUUUCCCCUACAUCAGCGGGCUCAUCACCACUCUCCUGUCAGGAUUUCAGCUCUUUUAUGGAUUUUUUUUAAAGGGGAAAAAAGGGCAUUCGACUGUGUAGAGUGGCCUGGGACACAAUUAAGACCUUUAUAAGACCAAAAUACACCAUCCAAGAAACAAAUCUGUUUAUUAAUGGUAAAAUAUGUCUUUCCCUUUUAAUCAAAUGGAACCUGACAAAGAGACUCUCUGUCCCCACAACUAUUUUAUCUAGUAAUUGGGCCAUUUGUGGAAACUAUGACAUGUUUCAAAUUACUGGAAAUGAAUAUGAGUUAGCAGUGAGAUUAUAAAAUGGCAUUGUAGUCCAAUGAACUCUUGGUGUUUACUAUACAAUCAAGUCCCUCAUUCCCCAGUACAACUAUCAUUUGGCUAGUGUUCAGUUUACAUACUGAAUUUAAACAAAUCUGUGGAAGAUUUCAACCUGAAAUAGUGGCCCAAUUUAAAUCCCCCCAAGAUGGAAUAAAUAUUUGAGGGCUAAAGUGAUCUUAAACCUAAUUCAAAAACUGGAAAUUAAUCCCAUGCUGUUAAAUUUUAGGAAUGAAUCUCCCCAUAACAGUUAUAGGAAGGCUGUUGCUUCUCAAAAUAAAUAUCCUCCCUAAUCUCCUAUGUCAACCACAACUGUUUCAGAGAAUUUAAAACCUCAUUCUUUAAUAAGCUUCACAAGACCUUUUCAAGGUUCAUUUGGUAGGCAAAAAACAAGAAUUGCUGUUAAAAAUGUAUAGGCCCAUUGAGACAUGGGAGAACUAAAUCUCCCUAACUUAGGCUAUAUUUCUGGGCAUCCCAUAUGGAGUGUUUGGCAGCAUGAUCCCAGGGAAACCCAGGACUUCAAUGGCUCCAGAUUGAACAACAGGCAGCAGGCCAAAUUAAUCUGGCAAACCUCCCAUCGUUCCCAGCUGAUCUACUACUCCCCUCAAGUCACACAGAACCCAAUUACAGAGUCAGUAUCAAACUCAGAGAUAAAAAAAUUAAAGAUGCAAAAUCUCUUAAAAUAGGUAGUUACUCUGGACUGUGUUACUAAUUUUUCUCUGAGCAUGAAUAACUAAGUCUACAAAGAAUUGUAUAUUGCAAACAUUUACUAAUAAUGAUAUUAUAGUGUCCUUUGAAGCACUGAAACAUAUUCCUGACAGACACAGGUUUUAUUUUAUUAUAUUCAAGCUAGGAAUUCCCAUUAAAAAUGAACACAAUUAGACAGAAUCCUAGUUUUAUACACAGCAAGGAAUCAUGAUUUUUAUGUGGAUCAGGUAAAUACAAUGUAUUUCUUUGGCUAUUAGGUCUUGAAACCACUUCCCUGACACAACCCCAGACAAAGACAUAACAAUGGACAGAGGUACAUGUAAUUCCAGUUCACUGAGGAGAAGAAAUAAAAAUCCUGGGAGAAAUUCAUAAUGUUAUGGUUAACAAUAACUCAAGGCAGAUACAAUGUUAUAUUGUACACAGAAAUAUUAUUUCUCAGUACUUGUAUGAUAAAAUAUGUAAAAUUAAACUAUAUAGAUGUAAGAAGGGCUCCUACGUAACUCCACUUUUUUUUUAACUCUAUCAUGUUACUUCCUGUUCCAAUUCUGGUAAAUUAUAUGCAGCACUAAUAGGAACAUAUUCAUGGUCUUACUCCAAAACAGUGUUUAUUAAGCAUUAAUCUGGGAACUCAUUUAUACAAACCUAUUAAAAACACUAUUUUUGUUAACGUUUUCACACACACACAAAAGACAUCUUGAUUUUCUGAACUAGUGAGACUACCUAACUGUACAAACCUGGAUCACUCUCAUUACAAAAUAGUAAUCAGCUAUCACAGGGCGAAAAGAGUACACACUUUCAAAGACAAACGAGUACUUCUUUAUAAAAAAUGCUGACUUUUAUUGGCAACUUUAUUUCCUUGACUUAGGGUCUUGACCUUAUAGGAUACACAAUGAGGAGGUGAUGAGCAUGUAAGGAGCCUUCCCCUCUUGCAAGAUCCUCCAGGCAGAAUUGUAGUCAGGGGAGUCCAUGGGCUGUUCCCUCAUUACUUCCCAAAGGAAACCUGAUACCCCAAAAGAGGCAGAGAUGGGUAGAAACGGGGGUGAGACCAUGGUCCUGCCCCCUCUCCACAGCGACCCCAGGAUCAGGAACAGUACACAGAAUGCUACACAGAGGUUGGUAGCAGGGAGCACUCCCCCAAUGUGCUGGGGAAUGAACUUGAGGAGGAGGAAAAGGAGAGAUGGUGCUGAUGGGAGAGGUUAGUGACAUGAUGGGGAUGAUGGGCAAAGAGGGUAAUCCUAGAAAGCACACUAUAAAUGGACUGGGGGCGGGGUCCAUGUGGAUGUCAGAGGGGCCAGGGAGAAGACAAUGGCAACAGUCAAAAUGGAGAAGACAACAGAGUGAAGAAAUCUUUGUUGACAGAGGCUAUGGAGGAAGAAAGCCAUAUUUUGACACAGCCUGGAAGUUCAAGGUGAGAGAAAGGGAAGUAUCAAAGAGAAUAUUUGGGUGUGGGUAGAAGCAUGGGUUUUGGUGACUGGGAAAUGGUUUUGCAGUGCACAUUGACAGAAAAAGAGAAGAGCAGGAAGAUUCUGGAAGGGAAAGCAGGAUUUCAGCUUUAGACAUACCAGAUGAAAUCCUGACCCUAUUAAUGUCAAUGGGAAUGGGGAGUCAAUUCCCACUGACUUCACUGAGGUCAGGAUUUCACCCAUUAAGUUGAAGUUCCUGACAACGCAUACAGAUGAGAUGUCAGAGAGACAAGUGAAGAGGCAGGGUUGGGUGGAAGGAGACAAACCAGAAGCAGAGAAGUAGUUUUGUAAGGGCAUGGCUACACUUGCAAAUGUAGAGUGCUUUG
Chrysemys picta bellii (western painted turtle) is the source of this 5716-nucleotide non-coding RNA. The record is from RefSeq and is a predicted model, not a curated record. Lineage: Eukaryota; Metazoa; Chordata; Testudines; Emydidae.